AACAUCGAGCCGUCCUGCGUCACUAUGCCGACUGACUGUAAGUAUUCACAUGAGUGUAUUAUGAUUAUAUUAUGACUGUCUAUGUGAAUCAGCUGUUUAUAUCUGACUGAAUCAGUGAUUACUCCACAGCGAUCUGCGGCCCCGCAGCGAUUUGCGGGCUCCGUCGGUGAGAGCGCGAAACAUCAGCUGGGGCCACAUGGAAGUUCGAAUGAUAUAUGGCUCGACAUUCAACAAACGAUUCUAGCCGACCAGACAAAUGUGUUGACAAGCGGUAGUUUUGUACCUAUCGCGGCCACCGUGAAUCAGCGAUCCCCCGGACUGAGCCGACUAUCCAAGAAAAGGCCGGCGGGGAUAGAUGCGGCUAUAGCCGGCUCAUCGCUGACCAUAGAGCAGCCGCAAAUUCCUUAUAAAAAGACGCGCAAGGACGCCGCACAUAGUGCUAUAGCUCCGGAGAAUUUUAACCAUGUUAUACAGGCCGUCAUAA
This is a long non-coding RNA of Gadus macrocephalus (Pacific cod), 484 nucleotides long. RefSeq lists it as uncharacterized. Lineage: Eukaryota; Metazoa; Chordata; Actinopteri; Gadiformes; Gadidae. The transcript is spliced from 3 exons. The record is from RefSeq and is a predicted model, not a curated record.